ACCCGCUGAACUUAAGCAUAUCAAUAAGCGGAGGAAAAGAAACCAACAGGGAUUGCCUUAGUGACGGCGAGUGAAGCGGCAAAAGCUCAGAUUUGAAAUCUAGCGUCAUAUUGGCGUUCGAGUUGUAAUCUGUAGAGAAGUUAUCGAGUGUGGAUAUGGCUUAAGUUCUUUGGAACAGGACGUCAUAGAGGGUGAGAACCCCGUAUACGGCCUUUGUCUUAUGCUCAUGUGAGGCUUCUUCGACGAGUCGAGUUGUUUGGGAAUGCAGCUCUAAAUGGGUGGUAAAUUCCAUCUAAAGCUAAAUACUGGCAAGAGACCGAUAGCGCACAAGUAGAGUGAUCGAAAGAUGAAAAGAACUCUGAACAGAGAGUUAAAUAGUACGUGAAAUUGUUGAAAGGGAAGCACUUGCUACCAGACUCGCUUGCAGUUAAUCAACUAUCAUUCUUGGUAGUGCACUUUUCUGUAGGUGGGCCAGCAUCAGUUGUGUCGGUGGGAUAAAGGCAGUUGGAAUGUGGCUCUCCUCGGAGAGUGUUAUAGCCUUCUGUGUAAUACCAUCUAAUGCGACUGAGGUCAGCGCUUUUGCGAGGAUGCUGGCAUAAUGGUCGU
RNAcentral lists this ribosomal RNA (606 nucleotides) under uncultured fungus. RNAcentral's name for it is "eukaryotic LSU rRNA". It matches the Rfam family "Eukaryotic large subunit ribosomal RNA", at positions 23 to 641 of the family's 3401-position model. Lineage: Eukaryota; Fungi. The record is from RNAcentral.